UACAGAGGUGGCAAGCGUUGUUCGGAAUUACUGGGCGUAAAGGGCGCGUAGGCGGCCUUCUAAGUCAGACGUGAAAUCCCCCGGCUUAACCUGGGAACUGCGUCUGAUACUGGGAGGCUUGAGUAUGGGAGAGGGAUGUAGAAUUCCAGGUGUAGCGGUGAAAUGCGUAGAUAUCUGGAGGAAUACCGGUGGCGAAGGCGAGUCCCUGGACAACACCUGACACUGAGGCACGAAAGCUAGGGGAGCAAACAGG
This 253-nucleotide ribosomal RNA is filed under the name uncultured bacterium. Its description in RNAcentral is "partial 16S ribosomal RNA". It matches the Rfam family "Bacterial small subunit ribosomal RNA", at positions 524 to 776 of the family's 1533-position model. The record is from RNAcentral.